AUUUGAGGUGGGAGCCACGGGGCUCUCGAGCCUCACCACUCAGCAUUAAUGGGCAUCAGCAGGGGUGGUCAGAGAUGCAGAUGCUGCGGCCACACCCUGACCGGAAUCUCUGCCCUUUUACAAGAUCCCCAGGGGUUCAUGGGUGCUGAACUUGGGGACGCUCAGGGCUAGACGCCUGAAGCCAGGUUAAGUGGGUCAGCUUGGCUGCAGUCUACCCCGUGGCUGUAUCUUCUGGCCUGCCCUUUAAAAACAUGCCCCCAGAAUCCUCCAUGUCACCCAUCUGCCAACUGGAUGUCAACUCCCAGGACAACUUUGGAAGCUGGUCAUUGAAGACAGCAGAGAUGUGGCCCCUGGGUCCCUGGAUUACUACAUGGAGCAGAGCACCCCCUUCCCCAACUCCAAGCUACUGAUUGGGUUUAUGUGUAUUAUGCUACCUGAGAUUUCAGGAUUUAUGUACCUAAUUCAAUUUCUUUCCUUUUUUGCUACCCAUUUUACAGAUGGGAAAAUUGUUGUUAAGUUGCUAAGUCCAUGUCUGACUCUUUUGCCACCCCAUGGGCUGUGGCUUGCCAGGCUCCUCUGUCCAUGGGAUUUCCCAGACAAGGAUACUGGAGUGGGUUUCCAUUCCCUUCUCCAGGAGAUCUUCCUGACCCAAGUAUCAAACCCACGUCUCCUGCAUUGCAUUCUUUACUGCUGAGCCAUUAAGGAAGCCCUGGGAAAACUAGAUGAGCUACUUUAAGGUGUGGCAUACCAAGGGCUUCCCAGGCGGCACUAGUGGUAAAGAAUCUGCCUGCUAGUGUAGGAGACGAAAGAGACAGCGAUUCAAUCCCUCGGUCGGGAAGAUCCCCUGGAGUAGGAAAUGGCAACCCACUCGACUAUUCUUUCCUGGAAAAUUCCACGGACAGAGGAUCCUGGCAGGCUAUAUAUAGUCCACGGGGUCACAAAGAGUCAGACAUGACUGAGUAUGCACGCACACUACAUGCUACUUACCAGGGUAUUGGCUGAGUGGUCUAAGAAAUAUCAGGUUAAAAUUCAUUCACUGAACAAACAUGUGUUGGCCUACUAUGUGCCAGACACUGUGCUGAGUAUACCAUACUGAACAAAACCAACUAGAUCUCGGCCCUCAAGGGUUUUAUAGU
This is a long non-coding RNA of Bos taurus (domestic cattle), 1136 nucleotides long. The record is from Ensembl. Lineage: Eukaryota; Metazoa; Chordata; Mammalia; Artiodactyla; Bovidae.